Molecule: long non-coding RNA, 495 nt
Organism: Suricata suricatta (meerkat)
Lineage: Eukaryota; Metazoa; Chordata; Mammalia; Carnivora; Herpestidae
Exons: 4
Source: RefSeq, a predicted model, not a curated record
UCAACUCCUCCUGGGACAUGACACUAAAUUCCCCCCAAAUCUUCUCCUUUUUUUGCUUAAGCUGGUUAGCUCUGGAUUCUGUUACUCACAAUAGCUUUGUGGAAAUCAUGUUUUAAAACCGCACUUGCAUGCUGCAGCUUAAGGAAAUCAGAAAGUUAAAUUGAAGAGAUCACAAUAUGUACUUACUUUUUUUAGGGAGACCUUCCUUCUUGAGUCUAAGAACUUUAGUAAAAGAACCAGUGGGCUGUCCAAAGAGAAUCCAAGUUCCCUCAGGAGCAUUCUGUGUCACAAAUUGGCAUGGAUGUGAGACACGUCACCCAUCAUCUGAAGGCAGGUCUCCACGCUUCAGAAAUAGAUCCCACCCUGGACUGAUGUGCAAAUGCUAUAAAUAGAUGCAGGCUAUGCCAUAGCUUACCAUAAAUACAUUAAAAGGAAGAGAAAUCAUUUAAAAGUCUCAAGCAAUUGAGAGUACAAAAUAAAGCACUGCCACCUGAA